RNAcentral lists this transfer RNA (65 nucleotides) under Leptinotarsa decemlineata (Colorado potato beetle). RNAcentral's name for it is "tRNA-Pro". The record is from RNAcentral. Lineage: Eukaryota; Metazoa; Arthropoda; Insecta; Coleoptera; Chrysomelidae.
CAAGAAUUAGUUUAAUAAAAAUUUUAAUUUUGGAGAUUAAAGAUAAAUCAGAUAUUUAUUCUUGA